Molecule: unclassified non-coding RNA, 429 nt
Filed under: soil metagenome
Description: partial contains 5.8S ribosomal RNA, internal transcribed spacer 2, and large subunit ribosomal RNA
Rfam family: 5.8S ribosomal RNA (bases 1-120)
Source: RNAcentral
GAUGAAGAACGUAGCGAAAUGCGAUACGUAAUGUGAAUUGCAGAAUUCAGUGAAUCAUCGAAUCUUUGAACGCAUAUUGCGCUCUUUGGUAUUCCGAAGAGCAUGCUUGUUUGAGUAUCAGUAAACACCUCAAAGACUUCAAUUUGUUUUGAAUGGCUUUGGACUUGAGCAAUCCCAACACCAGUCUUUACGAUCGGUGGAGGGUUGCUUGAAAUGCAGGUGCAGCUGGACAUUCUCCUGAGCUAAAAGCAUAUUUAUUUAGUCCCGUCAAACGGAUUAUUACUUUUGCUGCAGCUAACAUAAAGGGAGUUUGACCGUAUUGGCUGACUGAUGCAGGAUUUCACAAGGGUCGGCAACGAUUCUUGUUAAACUCGAUCUCAAAUCAAGUAAGACUACCCGCUGAACUUAAGCAUAUCAAUAAGCGGAGGA